RNAcentral lists this non-coding RNA (247 nucleotides) under Clostridium sp. Its description in RNAcentral is "T-box sequence". It matches the Rfam family "T-box leader". From Rfam's summary of the family: Uncharged tRNA acts as the effector for transcription antitermination of genes in the T-box leader family. T-boxes are found upstream of many aminoacyl-tRNA synthetase genes and some amino acid biosynthetic genes usually in Gram-positive bacteria. The record is from RNAcentral. Lineage: Bacteria; Bacillati; Bacillota; Clostridia; Eubacteriales; Clostridiaceae.
AGAAAAGUGAUGAUCGUGUUUAGUAGUUUGCUAUGAUUCGAUGAAGAGAGAGGAUGUCCCCGGCUGUAAGCAUCCUGUGCGUUCCCAUAGUAAAUGAAUUUCUCACGGGAGCUGCAGCUUUGAAGAUUUUUUGUGUAGAGGCUGACGUUUGCACACGUUACGUGUAAUGAAGAGUUUAUGUGAAGUAGAGAGGAUAUUCUCUUUCCAUAAAAAGCAGGGUGGUACCGCGGAGAGAUCCGUCCCUGAC